CAGCCGCCGCGGUAAUUCGUAGGUGGCAAGCGUUGUCCGGAAUUAUUGGGCGUAAAGCGCGCGCAGGCGGCCUAUCCAGUCUGUCUUAAAAGUUCGGGGCUCAACCCCGUGAUGGGAUGGAAACUAGUAGGCUAGAGUAUCGGAGAGGAAAGCGGAAUUCCUAGUGUAGCGGUGAAAUGCGUAGAUAUUAGGAAGAACACCAGUGGCGAAGGCGGCUUUCUGGACGAAAACUGACGCUGAGGCGCGAAAGCCAGGGGAGCGAACGGGAUUAGAUACCCCUGUAGUCCCUGUCUCUUAUACC
Molecule: ribosomal RNA, 301 nt
Filed under: uncultured bacterium
Lineage: Bacteria
Description: partial 16S ribosomal RNA
Rfam family: Bacterial small subunit ribosomal RNA
Source: RNAcentral